This 497-nucleotide ribosomal RNA is filed under the name uncultured bacterium. Its description in RNAcentral is "partial 16S ribosomal RNA". It matches the Rfam family "Bacterial small subunit ribosomal RNA", at positions 28 to 507 of the family's 1533-position model. The record is from RNAcentral.
GAUGAACGCUGGCGGCGUGCCUAAUACAUGCAAGUCGAGCGAACGGACGAGAAGCUUGCUUCUCUGAUGUUAGCGGCGGACGGGUGAGUAACACGUGGAUAACCUACCUAUAAGACUGGGAUAACUUCGGGAAACCGGAGCUAAUACCGGAUAAUAUUUUGAACCGCAUGGUUCAAAAGUGAAAGACGGUCUUGCUGUCACUUAUAGAUGGAUCCGCGCUGCAUUAGCUAGUUGGUAAGGUAACGGCUUACCAAGGCAACGAUGCAUAGCCGACCUGAGAGGGGGAUCGGCCACACUGGAACUGAGACACGGUCCAGACUCCUACGGGAGGCAGCAGUAGGGAAUCUUCCGCAAUGGGCGAAAGCCUGACGGAGCAACGCCGCGUGAGUGAUGAAGGUCUUCGGAUCGUAAAACUCUGUUAUUAGUGAAGAACAUAUGUGUAAGUAACUGUGCACAUCUUGACGGUACCUAAUCAGAAAGCCACGGCUAACUACGUG